Molecule: ribosomal RNA, 497 nt
Filed under: uncultured bacterium
Lineage: Bacteria
Description: partial 16S ribosomal RNA
Rfam family: Bacterial small subunit ribosomal RNA
Source: RNAcentral
GAUGAACGCUGGCGGCGUGCCUAAUACAUGCAAGUCGAGCGAACAGAUGAGGAGCUUGCUCCUCUGACGUUAGCGGCGGACGGGUGAGUAACACGUGGAUAACCUACCUAUAAGACUGGGAUAACUUCGGGAAACCGGAGCUAAUACCGGAUAAUAUAUUGAACCGCAUGGUUCAAUAGUGAAAGACGGUUUUGCUGUCACUUAUAGAUGGAUCCGCGCCGCAUUAGCUAGUUGGUAAGGUAACGGCUUACCAAGGCAACGAUGCGUAGCCGACCUGAGAGGGUGAACGGCCACACUGGAACUGAGACACGGUCCAGACUCCUACGGGAGGCAGCAGUAGGGAAUCUUCCGCAAAGGGCGAAAGCCUGACGGAGCAACGCCGCGUGAGUGAUGAAGGUCUUCGGAUCGUAAAACUCUGUUAUUAGGGAAGAACAAAUGUGUAAGUAACUAUGCACGUCUUGACGGUACCUAAUCAGAAAGCCACGGCUAACUACGUG